UUUCCUUUAAAGUAGCAUUUCAUCAGUGCUUUUUUUAUUCUUAUGAAUAGGAUUAAUAAUUAGCACCAAUAGUUACUCACACAGAAGAGACAAAUAGAGCUAAAUAUAUAAAUAUAUGAUUGCAAAAUAAAUGGAAUACAAUAGAGUGGUUUACAUGUAAAACCCCCUUCUGUUAUACAACUUAAAAUAUGAGCAGUAAGUGAAAAUUAAACAGUAACCAAACAAUACAAAAAGAGACAAGUAGAGGUCAACAUAAAGUUUUCAUAAACAUUUUCUACUUAUAUAUACAUAUAUAUAAAUCUACAGCAAAAAGAUGACCUUUAUUUAUUUUCAGUUUGAAGAGCUUUACUAUGUAUUGAUGUCAUGUAACUCUGUCUAAUUUAUUUAUUACUAUUGGUUAGAUGGCAUUAUAGUCUAAUUGUAUAAAAAUGUUUUCUUAUUUUUUUUUAUUAAAGAACAUACAGAAAUAAAUUUUAAUUCUAAUUGAUAAAACUCUGAAAGGGGAGAUAAUCAAGAGUUGUUCCAUUAGAAGUAGAAUUACACCCGUUCUAUUAGUAGACAAAAAGUAAAAUGAUAUCAUCACAAUAUUAAUUGUAUAAAGAAUAAAGUGGUUUACCAAGAAAUACAAACACAAAAUAUAUGAGGAAUAUGUCAAUGAGACAGCAACUGAACAAUACAAAAAGAGACAAGUAGAGGUCAGUACAUGGUCUACAGAGAAAUUCAAACUUUUAGAUAUAUAUGAAAAUAAUUUGUAGCAAAAUAAAAGUGACCUUCUAAUUUACAGUUUGUUUUUUUUUAGUUUGAAGAUAUAAUAAUACUAUGCGCUGAUGUAGUUGAAGGCUAGGGCAAGUCAUACCUAUUGAUUGAAGAUAGUUUACUGUGAACUCAUGUGAUCCAAGGUCCAGUUAAUUUAAUACUACAUGUAUUGUUUGAAGAGCUAAUAACUACUGUGUACUGAUGUCAUGUGUUUCAAGGCCCAGUUAAGUUGUUAUUACAUUUGUAUUGUUUGAAGAUAUAAUAAUACUAUGCGCUGAUGUAGUUGAAGGCUAGGGCAAGUCAUACCUAUUGAUUGAAGAUAGUUUACUGUGAACUCAUGUGAUCCAAGGUCCAGUUAAUUUAAUACUACAUGUAUUGUUUGAAGAGCUAAUAACUACUGUGUACUGAUGUCAUGUGUUUCAAGGCCACAUUAAGUUGUUAUUACAUUUGUAUUGAUUGAAGAUAGUUUACUGUGAACUCAUGUGAUCCAAGGUCCAAUUAAUUUAAUACUACAUGUAUUGUACGAAGAUUUAUAACCAAGUACUGAUGUAAUUAAAGGUCCAUUCAAUUUAUAUUAUGUCUCAUAUAAAGAAAAGAAAGGUGCCAUGCACUUUUGUAGUCCAUCAAAAUGGGAAAAAGAAAACAAUAACUAAGUCAUACAAACCUUUAUCAUCAAUUGAUAAAACUGCUGGUGCCAAAAAUGAUAAAGAUGAAACUAUAAAUGCACAGGUGAUGAACAAUGAACCAGAAAGAAAUGGUGAUGUACAGCUGAACAAUGAGCAUGAAACACCUUUUACAGUUGACCCUAAAAAUAAAUAUGCUAAAGCCAAGUUCCAACGUUUAAACCAUUGGUCAGAAUUAUGCAAGAAGCUGGUGUCUGCAGCAAAAGAAAAAGAAGCAGUAGUCAAUUUUAAAUGCCAGGAUUGUGGAAUUGAAAACCUUGAUCUCUACCGAUGCAUAGAUUGUAUAUCUUGGCCAGUUAUAUGUGAAAGUUGUCUGGAAAUUAGGCAUCAAUUUCCACAUUUACAUGUUUUUGAGAAA
This is a long non-coding RNA of Mytilus californianus (California mussel), 1797 nucleotides long. RefSeq lists it as uncharacterized. The transcript is spliced from 10 exons. Lineage: Eukaryota; Metazoa; Mollusca; Bivalvia; Mytilida; Mytilidae. The record is from RefSeq and is a predicted model, not a curated record.